This is a long non-coding RNA of Equus asinus (donkey), 1709 nucleotides long. Lineage: Eukaryota; Metazoa; Chordata; Mammalia; Perissodactyla; Equidae. The record is from Ensembl.
UUGAAGGUGUUUUGUGUGACAUCUCUGCCUGCGGUCCUGGACUGCCUUGUCCAUGUUACCUGUCGCGGGACCACCAGAGGCUGAUUCUGGGGUGGGUUCUGGAGGCAGCCUAGCUGAGUCAUCUAGAACAGCUACCAGCGGAGGAAGAGAGAUUCAUUUGGAACCAUUUCUACAAUUUUGGUGGAAGAUGUGACUCAGGGCCACUUAUCCAAACACAGCAAGAUUGGAAUAUAUAAGGGGGAAGCCUCCUUUGAUGGAGCUUGGUGUUCAGAGAAGCCCUGUACAGCCACGAGAGAGGAAAAGACAGAAGCCGGUCCACACUGUGCCCUCACCCUCCUUCUGGGCCCCCCUUCACCUGUUAAAAUUGUGGGGAGGAUGUGUGCAGUGGGCUGCAUGAUGACCCUCAAAACCUGCAAAUAUGACCUUAUCUGGAAAUGGAGUCUUUGCAGAUGUAAUUAAGUUAAGGGUUUUGAGAUGAGAUGAUCAUCCUGCAUUAUCUGGGUAGGCUCUAAAUCAAUGACAAAUGUCCUGGUAAAGGACACACAGAGGAGAAGACAGGCGCAAGGAGGCAAUGGCAAUAUGAAGACAGAGCAGAGUGACACAAGCCAAGGAAUGCUGACAACACCAGAAGCUGGAAGAGCCGAGGCAGGAUUCUCCCCAGGGCCUCCAGAGGGAGCACGGCUCUGCUGGCGCUUGAUUUUAGACUCCUAGCCUCUAGAAUUGUGAGAGAAUAAAUUCCUGUUGUUUUAAGCUGCCAAGCUUGUGCAAUUUGUUAUGACAGCUGCAGGAAACUAGCAGAACAUAGGACUGGAGUCCUAAAGCCCAGUGCGUGGUCUGGGGAGGGAGCUGAGAAUGUCCCGGAGGGCCACGCACUCAUGCAAAUAUCAAAUAGCCUUUGCAGUUUUUUUGUGAGCCUAUGGCCCACAAUCCUACAGACUUCCAGUUUUAUGUAAGACCAAGCCCUACUCACCAGAUACUUUAUGUUAGCUCUUCCGUUGUUACCAACGUUGGGCAUAACGCAUUGUUUUAAAUUUGAAGAUCACAUACAAAACCUCAUAUUUGUCUUUGACAAAGCGAAUCAAUGGUCUCCAAGUCGGGGUGUUCAACACAAUCCACCGGGUUGGGGAAAAACAGUGGAACUUUGGGGCAAGAACAGUAAGGAAGCAAUUAUACUUUCCUAAUCUUUUAAGAUUGGCACUAGUAGCUUCCUUUGGUGGGUGUGUCAGAGGGCUCUAUGUUACCCGCAGCACAGGUGGGCCCUUGAGGGCUCCACAAUGUGGGGGCCAAUGGUGGUGACCUCGCGUAUGCAUGAAUCUCAGGGGAAUUUGAGGUAAUAUGGUCUACAUGUGCUGGGUAAGUGGACUUGUAAAGCACACAAUCUAGUUUUAGCUCAACUAAUCCCCACAAAAUGAAAAAAUAGUUUGAAUAGAUUGCUGUAGAGAGACUGAGGAUUAAAGACAAUGCUAAUAGUACAAGUCUGGGUAAAAACCAAGAAAUUAGCAGAAGUGCUGUAGCUGGUGUGAGCUCUGCGUUAGCACAUCGUGAGGGAAAAGUGAGAUGGGACAAGAAGUCCGUCCCCUUGCCCCCAAAAGUAAAAUUAUCAAGAAGCUUCCUUGAAAGAUGGAUUUACAUUCACUGUCAUUAAUGAUGAAACUCGCUAUCCCAUUGUGCCUUGGAAUAUUAGUUAUUAAUAGUAAAGAGUCAUCAAA